CACGUAGGGGCCAAGCGUUGUCCGGAUUUCUUGGGCGUAAAGAGCUCGUAGGCUGCUCGGUAAGUCGGGUGUGAAACCUCCAGGCUCAACCUGGAGACGCCACCCGAUACUGCUGUGGCUAGAGUCCGGUAGGGGAGCGUGGAAUUCCUGGUGUAGCGGUGAAAUGCGCAGAUAUCAGGAGGAACACCAGCGGCGAAGGCGGCGCUCUGGGCCGGAACUGACGCUGAGGAGCGAAAGCGUGGGUAGCAAACAGG
This 254-nucleotide ribosomal RNA is filed under the name uncultured bacterium. RNAcentral's name for it is "partial 16S ribosomal RNA". It matches the Rfam family "Bacterial small subunit ribosomal RNA", at positions 524 to 776 of the family's 1533-position model. The record is from RNAcentral.